GAUGAACGCUGGCGGCGUGCCUAAUACAUGCAAGUCGAGCGAACGGACGAGAAGCUUGCUUCUCUGAUGUUAGCGGCGGACGGGUGAGUAGCACGUGGAUAACCUACCUAUAAGACUGGGAUAACUUCGGGAAACCGUAGCUAAUACCGGAUAAUAUUUUGAACCGCAUGGUUCAAAAGUGAAAGACGGUCUUGCUGUCACUUAUAGAUGGAUCCGCGCUGCAUUAGCUAGUUGGUAAGGUAACGGCUUACCAAGGCAACGAUGCAUAGCCGACCUGAGAGGGUGAUCGGCCACACUGGAACUGAGACACGGUCCAGACUCCUACGGGAGGCAGCAGUAGGGAAUCUUCCGCAAUGGGCGAAAGCCUGACGGAGCAACGCCGCGUGAGUGAUGAAGGUCUUCGGAUCGUAAAACUCUGUUAUUAGGGAAGAACAUAUGUGUAAGUAACUGUGCACAUCUUGACGGUACCUAAUCAGAAAGCCACGGCUAGCUACGUG
RNAcentral lists this ribosomal RNA (497 nucleotides) under uncultured bacterium. RNAcentral describes it as "partial 16S ribosomal RNA". It matches the Rfam family "Bacterial small subunit ribosomal RNA", at positions 28 to 507 of the family's 1533-position model. The record is from RNAcentral.